GACGAACGCUGGCGGCGUGCUUAACACAUGCAAGUCGAACGCUGAAGCCCCAGCUUGCUGGGGUGGAUGAGUGGCGAACGGGUGAGUAACACGUGAGUAACCUGCCCCUGACUUCGGGAUAAGCCCGGGAAACUGGGUCUAAUACCGGAUACGACUAUCGGACGCAUGUCUGGUGGUGGAAAGUUUUUUCGGUUGGGGAUGGGCUCGCGGCCUAUCAGUUUGUUGGUGAGGUAAUGGCUCACCAAGACGACGACGGGUAGCCGGCCUGAGAGGGCGACCGGCCACACUGGGACUGAGACACGGCCCAGACUCCUACGGGAGGCAGCAGUGGGGAAUAUUGCACAAUGGGGGAAACCCUGAUGCAGCGACGCAGCGUGCGGGAUGACGGCCUUCGGGUUGUAAACCGCUUUCAGCAGGGAAGAAGCCUUCGGGUGACGGUACCUGCAGAAGAAGUACCGGCUAACUACGUG
Molecule: ribosomal RNA, 470 nt
Filed under: uncultured bacterium
Lineage: Bacteria
Description: partial 16S ribosomal RNA
Rfam family: Bacterial small subunit ribosomal RNA
Source: RNAcentral